This is a long non-coding RNA of Ailuropoda melanoleuca (giant panda), 682 nucleotides long. RefSeq lists it as uncharacterized. The transcript has 3 exons. Lineage: Eukaryota; Metazoa; Chordata; Mammalia; Carnivora; Ursidae. The record is from RefSeq and is a predicted model, not a curated record.
ACGAAGACGACUCGGUAUCGGGUAAGGGUCAGGAUGUGCAGGACUGCAACACUCAGUCGCUACUGCUGGAAACGUAAACCGGCGCAACCCCUUCGGAAAGCCAUCUGGCAGGACCUACCAAAGCUGGCUUGGCAAUCACACGCCUACCUCUCUGCAUUCUUCCAGCAGAACUGUGGAGCGAUGCUCACCGAAAAACAUCUACCGAAAUGUUCGCAGGACUGUGUGUAGUAACAGAGAACGGAAAGUGACAUAAAUGUCCACCAGAGGCAGAGCAGGUGGCCUGAGAGCGUCCUGGCACCAACUCCCCUCCUGCCGUGAGCAUGAGCUGCUGCGCUGUGUGUGCCACACGUGGACGGACCCCAGAAAUAGCACGAGGAAAGAAGGCACCAAAUAAAGUACAUACACACGGUUCCACUUAAAUAAAGUUCGAAAACUGGCGACGUCGUCCACCGUGUUAGAAGCCAGUCCUACUGACUGCACGUGUCCCUUUGGUGUGUGAUUCUUCGAGAUAAGCAAUGAGCUCUUCCUGUAGUAAAGGACGGGAAAUCGCUGGGAUUUCAUCAGAACUGUCCAAACUGAGGAUGUGGCAAGAAUAAUAUUCUUACUAAUCUUCACUGUUGUGACAGAGACAGCCAGCGAGAGAGGGAACACAAGCAGGGGGAGUGGGAGAGGAAGAAGCAGG